GGUGGUUCUCGGGUGAUGCACCCCAGAAUCCGGCUCCCUCCUCUCUGGUUCUGGGGGCGUCACCUGAGAACUGCA
Myotis brandtii (Brandt's bat) is the source of this 75-nucleotide non-coding RNA. Lineage: Eukaryota; Metazoa; Chordata; Mammalia; Chiroptera; Vespertilionidae. The record is from Rfam.